GAUGAACGCUGGCGGCGUGCCUAAUACAUGCAAGUCGAGCGAACAGAUGAGGAGCUUGCUCCUCUGACGUUAGCGGCGGACGGGUGAGUAACACGUGGAUAACCUACCUAUAAGACUGGGAUAACUUCGGGAAACCGGAGCUAAUACCGGAUAAUAUAUUGAACCGCAUGGUUCAAUAGUGAAAGACGGUUUUGCUGUCACUUAUAGAUGGAUCCGCGCCGCAUAGCUAGUUGGUAAGGUAACGGCUUACCAAGGCAACGAUGCGUAGCCGACCUGAGGGGGUGAUCGGCCACACUGGAACUGAGACACGGUCCAGACUCCUACGGGAGGCAGCAGUAGGGAAUCUUCCGCAAUGGGCGAAAGCCUGACGGAGCAACGCCGCGUGAGUGAUGAAGGUCUUCGGAUCGUAAAACUCUGUUAUUAGGGAAGAACAAAUGUGUAAGUAACUAUGCACGUCUUGACGGUACCUAAUCAGAAAGCCACGGCUAACUACGUG
RNAcentral lists this ribosomal RNA (496 nucleotides) under uncultured bacterium. RNAcentral describes it as "partial 16S ribosomal RNA". It matches the Rfam family "Bacterial small subunit ribosomal RNA", at positions 28 to 507 of the family's 1533-position model. The record is from RNAcentral.